GCUGGCGGCGUGCCUAACACAUGCAAGUCAACUUGACUGAAGGAGCAAUCUGACAGUAGAGUGGCGCAAGGGUGCGUAACGCGUAAGUAACUUGCCCCAAGGUAAGGAAUAACGUCGAGAAAUCGGCGCUAAUACCUCAUAAUGCAGCGGAUCCGCAUGGAUAUGUUGUUAAAGGUUUACCGCCUUGGGAUAGGCUUGCGUCUGAUUAGUUAGUUGGUGUGGUAACGGCACACCAAGGCUACGAUCAGUAACUGGUCUGAGAGGAUGAUCAGUCACACUGGAACUGAGACACGGUCCAGACUCCUACGGGAGGCAGCAGUGAGGAAUAUUGGGCAAUGCUCGAAAGAGUGACCCAGCAACGCCGCGUGGAGGAUGAAGGUAUUCUAUAUCGUAAACUCCUGUGAGAGCAGACGAAAGGCAGAUUAUUAAUCUGGAUGACUGUAUGCUCAGAGGAAGCCCCGGCUAACUAUGUG
Molecule: ribosomal RNA, 473 nt
Filed under: uncultured bacterium
Lineage: Bacteria
Description: bacterial SSU rRNA
Rfam family: Bacterial small subunit ribosomal RNA
Source: RNAcentral